RNAcentral lists this long non-coding RNA (363 nucleotides) under Fukomys damarensis (Damara mole-rat). RNAcentral's name for it is "lncRNA (ENSFDAG00000026677.1)". Lineage: Eukaryota; Metazoa; Chordata; Mammalia; Rodentia; Bathyergidae. The record is from RNAcentral.
CCACUGACCAUACAGAUGAUCAUCUGUUGCUGUGGGAAGCCGGCUUCAAGCAUCAUUUUGCCUUCAAAGAGGACAGCCUAUGAGUCCCUCUCUCUAUUUUUGUUCCAGAUCAAACAGCACUUUCAGAAGCAGUCUGGGCCUUGUUUCUGUACUCGGAUAGAGGAAGUUCUUUUAAGGGUCCUCAUAAGCACCAGAAUCAUUUCCCUAAAGUGAUGUCAUUGGAAAAGUAUGAGGAAGGAUUAGGGAGAAGGUGGCCUUCUCAGUCAGGGCCAGUGCUGGUGUGAGAGGUUCAAGGACAAAGGUAAAGUGUUCCUCACCUCCAAGAUGAACUUUCCUCCCAUGGUGGGAGUCGAAUAUUUCAGG